This 1769-nucleotide long non-coding RNA is filed under the name Medicago truncatula (barrel medic). Its description in RNAcentral is "long non-coding RNA (MTRU_LNC007693)". The record is from RNAcentral. Lineage: Eukaryota; Viridiplantae; Streptophyta; Magnoliopsida; Fabales; Fabaceae.
UCAGGUUUCUUUUUCUUCACUCCUUUCUCUUCAGAUCUCCUUGUUCCUUUUGAGUCCUUAGUAUCACUGAAACUCACAAUAUUGGUAUAAAAGUGUCCGACCUAACAAUAUCGGUAUUGUCAGUUGAGUUAGGGCUUACGGGCUUUUUUUUUUUUGUUCUUGCAAAUAUGAUGAAUGAGAAAAAAAUGUUUAACUUGAAAGAGUUUUUUUGUUUAUUUUAUAAAGGGUUACUAUUAUUUGAAGGUGUGAUUUAUAAAGUAUGAAAAUUUAUGGGUUUGAAAUGAAUCUAUUGUAGGUGGUCACAUUAACCCAGCAGUGACAUUUGGGCUAUUUUUGGCUCGUAAGGUGUCUUUGAUCAGAGCAAUUAUGUACAUGGUGGCUCAGUGUUUAGGAGCUAUUGCUGGAGUUGGGUUGGUUAAGGCUUUUCAAAGUGCUUACUUUGAUAGAUAUGGUGGUGGUGCUAAUUUUCUCCAUGAUGGUUACAGUACUGGUGUUGGAUUAGGUGCUGAGAUUGUUGGUACCUUUGUUUUGGUUUACACCGUUUUCUCUGCCACUGAUCCUAAGAGAAGUGCUAGAGAUUCACAUGUGCCGGUAUGUUUUCAUUUUUUUUAUUUUUUAUUUUUAUUUUGCCUUUUCUUGUUGUCAUGUUUUCAAAGUGCAUGUAUGAAUAAUAAUGUAUGAACUGUGUAGAAUAUUCAAUAUAAUAUAAUAUAACAUGUGAUUUAGUUGCCUGAGGUAUGUUCAAAAUACUGAUUAAAGGGAAUGUAUAUGUGACUAAAUGUGGAAGGAGAAAUAAAAUAUUUACAAAUUGCUAGUGGCUAUGACAUGAAUUUUCCUAAAUUAGCAAGUUUGAUCUACUUUUCUUUUAAAAUACUUUUGUUGAUAUUGCAAUCUCCUAGUUUUUGGCAUGUUUUAAAGAAUCAUUUUUUUUAAUGAGUUUAAAGAAUCAAUUUAAACAAGAAAUAAAUUAAAGCUCAAUUAUUAAUUACAAAAUCAAAUAAUCUAUUGAUAUGCUAUAUAUACACACCUACAAAAAAAAUAAUCUAUUGAGAUUCCUUAAAUUAUUUAUUUUCUAAAGUGGGAAAUAUCCCUAGAGGAACCAAAUAUUUUUUUUAAUGUAAUACUAAUAAUUAAUUUUGAAGAUAAUGAUCUUAAAUUGGUAGUAGUAUAUAUGUUUAUAUUAACAACUUAGCUCAGUCCACCACCAAAAAAAAAACAAGUUUGAACUGGUUUGUUUUUUGGUGCGGUUCUGCUUUGGUUGUUUUUUAAGAUAUAAAAUAAUUAGUUUUCAAGACAAUGAUCUCAAAUUGCUUCUGAGCAAAGAAAAUAAAAUAGUGCGUUUCAUUUCAAUAGUAGUAAUUACCAAAUAUAAUAAGGGUAAUGUUCAAUGUUCAUGAAUUUUUACCUACUUUUUUGCUUGGCUUCUUUAGUCAACAUCUUGGAUAGUAAGUUUUCCAAAAUAUAAAUGCCAUCAUUAAUUUCUCAGUGCUUACUUGCAUCUUUUGGGUUCACCUAAACAUGCUAGGGUGGUAAAGCUAUCUUUUUCCUUUCCUUCACCAUAAUUUCCCAAUGAAAUGAUGUUGUUAAUGACACACAACAGCAGCGUGCCUUUGUGGUAUAUAUGGGGGUCCCCAUCAUACCUUAUAUGAGUUGUUUGUGGAGGUGGUUGAAUUUCAUGGCCAUACUUGUAAAAAGUGGAUUCUAAUUUGUUCCUUGAAAACAAAAUUUAUGUGUGUUAAGUUCGAGAUUAAAGUCUUCAUAGUUAAUUG